This 947-nucleotide ribosomal RNA is filed under the name Vreelandella aquamarina. Its description in RNAcentral is "bacterial SSU rRNA". It matches the Rfam family "Bacterial small subunit ribosomal RNA", at positions 49 to 994 of the family's 1533-position model. The record is from RNAcentral. Lineage: Bacteria; Pseudomonadati; Pseudomonadota; Gammaproteobacteria; Oceanospirillales; Halomonadaceae.
CUACCAUGCAAGUCGAGCGGUAACAGAUCCAGCUUGCUAGGAUGCUGACGAGCGGCGGACGGGUGAGUAAUGCAUAGGAAUCUGCCCGAUAGUGGGGGAUAACCUGGGGAAACCCAGGCUAAUACCGCAUACGUCCUACGGGAGAAAGGGGGCUCCGGCUCCCGCUAUGGGAUGAGCCUAUGUCGGAUUAGCUAGUUGGUGAGGUAACGGCUCACCAAGGCCACGAUCCGUAGCUGGUCUGAGAGGAUGAUCAGCCACAUCGGGACUGAGACACGGCCCGAACUCCUACGGGAGGCAGCAGUGGGGAAUAUUGGACAAUGGGGGCAACCCUGAUCCAGCCAUGCCGCGUGUGUGAAGAAGGCCCUCGGGUUGUAAAGCACUUUCAGCGAGGAAGAACGCCUAGCGGUUAAUACCCGCUAGGAAAGACAUCACUCGCAGAAGAAGCACCGGCUAACUCCGUGCCAGCAGCCGCGGUAAUACGGAGGGUGCAAGCGUUAAUCGGAAUUACUGGGCGUAAAGCGCGCGUAGGUGGCUUGAUAAGCCGGUUGUGAAAGCCCCGGGCUCAACCUGGGAACGGCAUCCGGAACUGUCAAGCUAGAGUGCAGGAGAGGAAGGUAGAAUUCCCGGUGUAGCGGUGAAAUGCGUAGAGAUCGGGAGGAAUACCAGUGGCGAAGGCGGCCUUCUGGACUGACACUGACACUGAGGUGCGAAAGCGUGGGUAGCAAACAGGAUUAGAUACCCUGGUAGUCCACGCCGUAACGAUGUCGACCAGCCGUUGGGUGCCUAGCGCACUUUGUGGCGAAGUUAACGCGAUAAGUCGACCGCCUGGGGAGUACGGCCGCAAGGUUAAAACUCAAAUGAAUUGACGGGGGCCCGCACAAGCGGUGGAGCAUGUGGUUUAAUUCGAUGCAACGCGAAGAACCUUACCUACUCUUGACAUCCUGCGA